CCUACGGGUGGCAGCAGUGAGAAAUAUUGGUCAAUGGGCUUACGCCUGAACCAGCCAAGUCGCGUGAGGGAAGACUGCCCUAUGGGUUGUAAACCUCUUUUGUCAGGGAGCAAUUGGCGAUACGUGUAGCGUUAUCGAGAGUACCUGAAGAAAAAGCAUCGGCUAACUCCGUGCCAGCAGCCGCGGUAAUACGGAGGAUGCGAGCGUUAUCCGGAUUUCUUGGGUUUACAGGGUGCGUAGGCGGAAUGCCAAGUCAGCGGUAAAAUCGCGGGGCUCCACCUCGCUCCGGCGGUGAAACUGGCGUUCGUGAGUGGGCGAGAAGUAUGGGGGAUGGGUGGGGGAGCGGUGAAAUGCA
This 355-nucleotide ribosomal RNA is filed under the name uncultured bacterium. RNAcentral describes it as "partial 16S ribosomal RNA". It matches the Rfam family "Bacterial small subunit ribosomal RNA", at positions 338 to 690 of the family's 1533-position model. The record is from RNAcentral.